CCUACGGGUGGCAGCAGUAGGGAAUCUUCCACAAUGGGCGAAAGCCUGAUGGAGCAACGCCGCGUGGGUGAAGAAGGUCUUCGGAUCGUAAAACUCUGUUGUCAGAGAAGAACGUGCGCGAGAGUAACUGUUCACGUUUCGACGGUAUCUAACCAGAAAGCCACGGCUACCUACGUGCCAGCAGCCGCGGUAAUACGUAGGUGGCAAGCGUUAUCCGGAUUUAGUGGGCGUAAAGGGAACGCAGGCGGUCUUUUAAGUCUGAUGUGAAAGCCGUCGGCUUAACCGGAGUAGUGCAUUGGAAACUGGGAAACUUGAGUGCAGAAGAGGAGAGUGGAACUCCAUGUGUAGCGGGGAAAUGCGUAGAUAUAUGGAAGAACACCAGUGGCGAAGGCGACUCUCUGGUCUGUAACUGACGCUGAGGUUCGAAAGCGUGGGUAGCAAACAGGAUUAGAUACCCCAGUAGUC
RNAcentral lists this ribosomal RNA (465 nucleotides) under uncultured bacterium. Its description in RNAcentral is "partial 16S ribosomal RNA". It matches the Rfam family "Bacterial small subunit ribosomal RNA", at positions 338 to 795 of the family's 1533-position model. The record is from RNAcentral.